AACGAACGCUGGCGGCAGGCCUAACACAUGCAAGUCGAGCGCCCCGCAAGGGGAGCGGCGGACGGGUGAGUAACGCGUGGGAACGUACCCUUUGCUACGGAAUAGCCUCGGGAAACUGGGAGUAAUACCGUAUGUGCCCUUCGGGGGAAAGAUUUAUCGGCAAAGGAUCGGCCCGCGUUGGAUUAGGUAGUUGGUGGGGUAAUGGCCUACCAAGCCGACGAUCCAUAGCUGGUUUGAGAGGAUGAUCAGCCACACUGGGACUGAGACACGGCCCAGACUCCUACGGGAGGCAGCAGUGGGGAAUCUUAGACAAUGGGCGCAAGCCUGAUCUAGCCAUGCCGCGUGAGCGAUGAAGGCCUUAGGGUUGUAAAGCUCUUUCAGUGGGGAAGAUAAUGACUGUACCCACAGAAGAAGCCCCGGCUAACUCCGUGCCAGCCGCCGCCGUAA
Molecule: ribosomal RNA, 447 nt
Filed under: uncultured bacterium
Lineage: Bacteria
Description: partial 16S ribosomal RNA
Rfam family: Bacterial small subunit ribosomal RNA
Source: RNAcentral